Molecule: RNA transcript, 3100 nt
Organism: Gossypium arboreum
Lineage: Eukaryota; Viridiplantae; Streptophyta; Magnoliopsida; Malvales; Malvaceae
Gene name: heat shock 70 kDa protein 16-like
Exons: 11
Source: RefSeq, a predicted model, not a curated record
UUUUCUCAAUAGCAGGUUAUGUUAUUAGCCUUAAAAACUUAGUACUACUUAGCGAGAAAAUAGGAGAUUUCCUCUCUAUACCAUCGCACUUCGUCUUUCAAUUUCUUUGGGUUCUUUCAAAUCCGAAUUUCUCUUUUUUCUUUUUCUUGCGGCAGAUUUUUCCUCUAUCAGAGAUAUGGGUUUUAUUUGGUUUCUGAUUAAAUGCAACGAAAAUGGAGAAUUGGGUCAUUGGGACUUGUUAAUUUAUAGCCAAAAGGUUGCAAAGAAGCAUCAAACUUGGGGGUCUUUAUGUUUCUGUUGAAAUUUGAUAUAGAUUUUUCUUUGUUUCUGAUUAAUUGGAAAGAAAAUGGAAAAUUGGGUCAUUGAAGCAUUGUUGUUUUGCGGCCAAAAGCUGCAAAAAAUGCUUUAAAUUUGGGUUUUCCCCCACAUUUUAUCUUUUGUUUUCUUAGCUAAUGGUAUCAUAGAAAAUAAUUUUUUUUUAUGGUCUAAUCUUGGUUUUCCUUUUUGUAGCUUCUGCUGGUGAUGCUUUGAGGAGGAAAUUUUGAGAAAUUUAAUACAAUUUAAAUUGAAUCCAGUUUUGACUCUAGAAUUGUUGUUUUUAGUGAGUUAAAAUGAGCGUUGUAGGUUUUGAUAUUGGAAAUGAGAAAUGUGUAAUUGCUGCUGUAAAGCAAAGAGGUGUAGAUGUGUUGUUGAAUGAUGAAUCGAAACGUGAAACGCCAGCUUUGGUAUGCUUCGGAGAGAAGCAGAGGUUCCUCGGCUCUGCUGCGGCAGCUUCUGCCAUGAUGCAUCCGAAAACUACUGUAUCUCAAGUGAAAAGGUUGAUUGGUAGGAAGUUUCAAGACCCUGAUGUUCAAAAUGAGUUAAGAAUGUUACCAUUUGAAACUUCAGAGGGUCAAGAUGGUGGCAUUUUGAUUCACUUGAAGUAUUUAGGGGAAACACAUCGAUUUACGCCUGUGCAAAUUAUGGCCAUGCUGUUUGCGCAUUUGAAAUAUAUGACGGAGACGAAUUUGGGACUUCCUGUUUUGGAUUGUGUUAUUGGUAUUCCUUCAUACUUCACUGACUUGCAAAGACGUGCAUAUUUGGAUGCUGCUAAGAUUGCCGGGUUGAAACCUCUUAGAUUAAUGCAUGACUGUACUGCGACCGCACUUGGUUAUGGGAUUUACAAAACGGAUUUCUCCAAUGCUGGUCCGACGAAUGUUGCUUUUGUGGAUAUCGGCCAUUGUGAUACCCAGGUCUCGAUUGUAUCAUUUGAGGCUGGACAAAUGAGGAUACUAUCACAUGCUUUCGAUAACAGCCUUGGCGGAAGGGAUUUUGAUGAGAUUUUGUUUGGAUAUUUUGCAGCUUGUUUCAAGGAGCAGUAUAAUAUAGAUGUGUACUCUAAUGUCCGGGCUUCUAUCAGGUUAAGGGCAGCGUGUGAGAAACUGAAGAAGGUUUUGAGUGCUAAUGCAGAGGCGCCUUUAAAUAUCGAGUGUUUGAUGGAUGAAAAGGAUGUCAAAGGUUUCAUUAAGAGGGAAGAAUUUGAGAAGUUGGCUCCCGGGUUGUUGGAGAGGAUUAACAUUCCUUGUACUAAAGCUAUAACCGAUGCAGGGUUAACUGUGGGGAAAGUCCAUGCUGUCGAACUUGUUGGAUCGGGGUCCAGGAUACCAGCUAUAACAAGACAGUUAGCUUCUUUUUUUAGGAGAGAACCCAGUCGGACAAUAAAUGCAAGUGAGUGUGUUGCACGAGGAUGUGCUCUUCAGUGCGCAAUGCUCAGUCCAAUUUUUCGGGUUAGAGAUUACGAGGUUCAAGAUUGUAUUCCAUUCUCCAUAGGGUUCUCUUUGGAUAAAACCCCAAUCUUGCAAGGGUCUAAUUAUGUGUUGUUUCCGAGAGGCCAGCCAAUUCCUAGUGCUAUAGUUCUACAAUUACAGAGAAGUAGUUUGUUUCAUUUGGAACCCUUCUAUGCUAAUCCAAACGAACUGCCUUCUGGUGUACCCUCGGAAAUAAGUUGUUUCACAAUCGGCCCUUUCCAAGCCUCCAAUAGUGAAAGGGCAAGGGUUAAAGUCAAAGUUCAACUAAACCUUCAUGGCAUUGUUACUGUCGAGUCAGCUAUGCUGAUCGAAGAGCAUGUAGAUGAUUCCGAAUUGAGCACAAAGGAAGCCCGGCAUGUAACAAAUGGCAGUGAAGAUGGUACAUAUAUGCAGUCUAAACCAUCAAAUGCUUCAGCUGAUGGUAAGACCAAUGAUAAAACAAUGAGAAGGCUUGAGAUACCAGUUAGUGAAAACAUAAAUGGCACGAUGACAGGGGUUGAGCUUAUGGAAGCUCAAGAUAAAGAACUUAAGUUGGCGCAACAGGACCGGACUAUGGAACAAACAAAAGAGAAGAAGAAUGCCUUGGAAUCUUAUGUCUAUGAAAUGCGGAAUAAGCUUUUCAACACAUAUCGUGGUUUUGCAUCUGAUGAGGAAAGAGAUGGCAUUUCCAAAAGCCUGCAAGAGACUGAGGAGUGGCUUUACGAUGAUGGGGAGGAUGAAACCGAAGGCGCUUACACUUCUAAAUUAGAGGCUCUUAAGAAGUUGGUGGAUCCAGUUGAGAACCGGUUUAAAGAUGAAGAAGCGAGAACACAGGCUUCAACAGAUCUAUUUAAGUGCAUCGCGGAUAUAAGAAUGUCGACGAAAUCUUUGCCAAAUGAGGAUAGAGAAUCGAUAUUGAAUGAGUGCAACAAGGCUGAGCAGUGGUUGACCGAGAAAACUAAACAACAAGACUCUUUACCGAAGAACAUUGACCCACUGUUAUGGUCAAGUGAGAUUAAGAAAAUGACUGAGGAUCUAAACAUGAAAUGUAUGCAUAUAAUGUCGCGGAAGGCUUCUCAUCGGAAUCUAGACAACAAGGGCCGGGACCAGCAAGGAUAAAGAUUAAAGGUGUACGAAGCAUCGACAAGUUUACAGUUUCGCACAUCACACUUAGGGCUGCUUUUUGUUAGAUAUACAUAUAUACACAGGAGGAAUGGUGUAUGUAAGCAUCAGAGUAUUAAUGGUUCUCAAAGACUAGUGUAUUACUAAACAUUUUCAGAAUUACAGAACACCCACAGAUAUAAACAAUGAUGAACAAGAAGUUGACAUUGAAA